GUCCUCUUGUAUUUUUAGGAGGUCAGGCCUGCCCAGUGAGAUUUUUAACGGCCGCGGUAUAUUGACCGUGCAAAGGUAGCAUAAUCAUUAGUCUUUUAAUAGGAGGCUGGAAUGAAGGGUUUAACGAGAAAUUCCCUGUCUCAAUUGCAUUAAUAGAACUUAGCUUUUAAGUUAAAAGGCUUAAAUUUUGUUGGAGGACGAGAAGACCCUAUAGAGCUUUACAUUUUUAUUUAAUAAUUUGGUAUGUUUAAUAAUUGGUAUUAAUUUAUAAAAUUGUUUUGUUGGGGUGACAAAAAAUAUAUAUUUAACUUUUGCUAUUUUAUUCACAUUGAUUUAUGAAUGUUGGAUCCAACAUGGUUGAUCAUUAGAUUAAGUUACCUUAGGGAUAACAGCGUAAUCUUUUCUUAGAGUUCAAAUUCACGAGAAGGCUUGCGACCUCGAUGUUGGAUUAAGAUUAUAAUUGGGUGCAGUAGCUUGAUUAAUAGGUCUGUUCGACCUUUAAAUUCUUACAUGAUCUGAGUUCAGACCGG
Molecule: ribosomal RNA, 530 nt
Filed under: Mortonagrion stygium
Lineage: Eukaryota; Metazoa; Arthropoda; Insecta; Odonata; Coenagrionidae
Description: partial 16S ribosomal RNA
Rfam family: Archaeal large subunit ribosomal RNA
Source: RNAcentral